UUUUUCACAUUGCAUCCUGUAGGUACACUUGAGGAAAUGGAGAUUUGGAUAGCUGGGAGAGAGAGAAAGGACCAGUGGCUUUCCUAAGAUGAACCAGUGGCUUGACAAGGCAGGGGAGCAGCAUUUGUUCCUUUGCUUUGCACUCCUGCACUCUGGUGGAUGCACCACGCAACUUUCAGACCUGCUUCAUUUUGAGCAAGAGAUACGCUCAAAACCAUCAGUGGAAUCAAGAAUUCCAGAGUAUAAAAUCAUGGACAGCCUCAAUAAACCACUUGAGCUGAUCUUGAACUCUGAACUCCAACUUCAGGGCACAUUUUGUAACAGAUAAAUGCUAAUGGCGAAGGAGAAAACCAAAUCUGAUGAUAAUUACAGAAUUAUCCAAAUGCUGAUCAUGCCAUGAGGAACCACGUUUCCAUCUCCUGUUUUGCUUGAUAAGGUAACAACAGGACAUUGCUGUCAGCAUUAUCUCCACAGCAUCGUUUGAAAUUAAAGUUGUGUAUAAAAUGUAUUUUCAGUACGGCACAAUUUGUUAC
This 533-nucleotide long non-coding RNA is filed under the name Cyanistes caeruleus (blue tit). RNAcentral's name for it is "lncRNA (ENSCCEG00000023214.1)". Lineage: Eukaryota; Metazoa; Chordata; Aves; Passeriformes; Paridae. The record is from RNAcentral.